This 719-nucleotide long non-coding RNA is filed under the name Homo sapiens (human). Its description in RNAcentral is "non-protein coding lnc-IRX3-80:62". Lineage: Eukaryota; Metazoa; Chordata; Mammalia; Primates; Hominidae. The record is from RNAcentral.
GACGUAAACCUUUAUUGUAUUAAGCCACUGAGCAUUGGAGGUUGUUUCUAUGGCAGCAGAGCCUAGCCUACUCUGACUACUUUGAGGACUUUGUCCAUGAAUGUGUUCCUGUUCACUCUAGAAUUUUAACUGACAGCCCGGUAGAGAGAAGCAUUGUGAUGAUAAUGAUGACGAUGAUGAUAUCACUGAGUGCUGGAAAAGGUUUCUGCCACUACCUUCCUAGACUCAUCUAAGUGGAUGGACUCCAGGGGAUGGAGAAUGGAAGGCAGCAGAUGUUUGUUGACUUCUUGCUCUAUAUCGGGCACUGUGCUAGAUACCAUACACGCCAUCAACAUUUAGGACAGUAUGACAAAGGAGAAUGAAAGCUGUCUCUUGUAGAUAGGAUAUUUUCAGCCGUCAUCACCAUGGACUCUUUGAAAUGUACUACUUCAGAAAAGCCACAGUGACUCCCUCUGGGCCUCACCCACCUGAGAUGACAUCACGACGCAAAUCUAGGACUUACGCUCUUCAUACGGAUGGAAUGGUUGGUUCACUUGGCUUUCAGAGUGCAGACAAGCCAUUCAGUGGAGGGCAUGCCUCAGCCUGCACUCUUCUGACUCAUGACAUGACUUCUCCAUGGAGAGCCAGGAUUUUUCUCAAGUGUAACAAUAUUAAUUAUCAAGUCACUUUAAAACAUGUGUGAUGUAUGUGUGCAUUUAUUUCACAGGAAUGGUAUAAAG